GACGGAAGGUGCAAGCGUUGCUCGGAAUCACUGGGCGUAAAGGGUGCGUAGGCGGCCGUGCAAGUCUGGCGUGAAAGCCCCGGGCUCAGCCCGGGAAGUGCGCUCGAAACUGCGCGGCUCGAGUGCCGGAGGGGAGAGUGGAAUUCCUGGUGUAGCGGUGAAAUGCGUAGAGAUCGGGAGGAACAUCAGUUGCGAAGGCGGCUCUCUGGACCAGCACUGACACUGAGGCACGAAAGCGUGGGGAGCAAACAGG
This 253-nucleotide ribosomal RNA is filed under the name uncultured bacterium. Its description in RNAcentral is "partial 16S ribosomal RNA". It matches the Rfam family "Bacterial small subunit ribosomal RNA", at positions 524 to 776 of the family's 1533-position model. The record is from RNAcentral.